GACGAACGCUGGCGGCGUGCUUAACACAUGCCAGUCGAACGGAAAGGCCCUGCUUGCAGGGUACUCGAGUGGCGAACGGGUGAGUAACACGUGGGUGAUCUGCCCUGCACUUCGGGAUAAGCCUGGGAAACUGGGUCUAAUACCGGAUAGGAGCCAUUUUUAGUGUGAUGGUUGGAAAGUUUUUUCGGUGUAGGAUGAGCUCGCGGCCUAUCAGCUUGUUGGUGGGGUAAUGGCCUACCAAGGCGGCGACGGGUAGCCGGCCUGAGAGGGUGGACGGCCACAGUGGGACUGAGAUACGGCCCAGACUCCUACGGGAGGCAGAAGUGGGGAAUAUUGCACAAUGGGCGCAAGCCUGAUGCAGCGACGCCGCGUGGGGGAGGACGGCCUUCGGGUUGUAAACUCCUUUCGCUAGGGACGAAGCUUUUUGUGACGGUACCUAGAUAAGAAGCACCGGCUAACUACGUG
RNAcentral lists this ribosomal RNA (465 nucleotides) under uncultured bacterium. RNAcentral's name for it is "partial 16S ribosomal RNA". It matches the Rfam family "Bacterial small subunit ribosomal RNA", at positions 28 to 507 of the family's 1533-position model. The record is from RNAcentral.